This 1264-nucleotide ribosomal RNA is filed under the name Lactiplantibacillus plantarum. RNAcentral describes it as "bacterial SSU rRNA". It matches the Rfam family "Bacterial small subunit ribosomal RNA", at positions 50 to 1276 of the family's 1533-position model. The record is from RNAcentral. Lineage: Bacteria; Bacillati; Bacillota; Bacilli; Lactobacillales; Lactobacillaceae.
AAAACAGGCGAGUGCUAUGAUGCAGUCGACGAACUCUGGUAUUGAUUGGUGCUUGCAUCAUGAUUUACAUUUGAGUGAGUGGCGAACUGGUGAGUAACACGUGGGAAACCUGCCCAGAAGCGGGGGAUAACACCUGGAAACAGAUGCUAAUACCGCAUAACAACUUGGACCGCAUGGUCCGAGCUUGAAAGAUGGCUUCGGCUAUCACUUUUGGAUGGUCCCGCGGCGUAUUAGCUAGAUGGUGAGGUAACGGCUCACCAUGGCAAUGAUACGUAGCCGACCUGAGAGGGUAAUCGGCCACAUUGGGACUGAGACACGGCCCAAACUCCUACGGGAGGCAGCAGUAGGGAAUCUUCCACAAUGGACGAAAGUCUGAUGGAGCAACGCCGCGUGAGUGAAGAAGGGUUUCGGCUCGUAAAACUCUGUUGUUAAAGAAGAACAUAUCUGAGAGUAACUGUUCAGGUAUUGACGGUAUUUAACCAGAAAGCCACGGCUAACUACGUGCCAGCAGCCGCGGUAAUACGUAGGUGGCAAGCGUUGUCCGGAUUUAUUGGGCGUAAAGCGAGCGCAGGCGGUUUUUUAAGUCUGAUGUGAAAGCCUUCGGCUCAACCGAAGAAGUGCAUCGGAAACUGGGAAACUUGAGUGCAGAAGAGGACAGUGGAACUCCAUGUGUAGCGGUGAAAUGCGUAGAUAUAUGGAAGAACACCAGUGGCGAAGGCGGCUGUCUGGUCUGUAACUGACGCUGAGGCUCGAAAGUAUGGGUAGCAAACAGGAUUAGAUACCCUGGUAAUCCAUACCGCAAACGAUGAAUGCUAAGUGUUGGAGGGUUUCCUCCCUUCAGUGCUGCAGCUAACGCAUUAAGCAUUCCGCCUGGGGAGUACGGCACGCAGGCUGAAACUCAAGGAAUUGACGGCGGCCCGCACAAGCGGCUGGAGCAUGUGAUUUAAUUCGAGCUACGCGUAGAAUCUUACCAUGUCUUGACGUACUAUGCAAUCUAUUAGAUAGACGUUCCCUACGCGGACAUGGAUACAGUGAUGCAUGGUCUGUCGCAGCUCGUAGUCGUGAGAGUAUGUUUAAGUCCCGCAACGAGCUCAACCUUAUUAUCAGCUGCCACUAUUCAAUUGGGCCAUCCUGUCUGACAUGCCGGGUACACCUGACGAGGAUGUGGAUACGCUAAUCCCAAUGACCGUUUUGACCUGCUUACCAACGGUCUAACUAUGAAUGUCAACGAGUUAAAACUCCUCGAGCUAUAUGUAGUGUCUCU